AAUGCGUUUAAAGAUUUUAAUAUAUAUAUAUGAUGGUAUUUUUCAGUAUAAGCAAUUCCAAUACAGAUAGAAGCUUACUUAGUUUUUUUUCCAUCAUAGUCUACCAGCACUGUCGCACACUUUUCUCGUCUGUGCACAAGCUUCCAUAUUCCCUCAUCGUAAAAAUCUUUGAACUGAUAUCUCAGCCAGUUGCUCACAACACUUUUGACUUGAUCGUCACUUUCAAACUUUGUGCCUCUCGUGAAUGCUUUUAAGGCAGCAAACAGAUGAAAGUGUGAAGGGGCAAAGUCUGGAUUGGAAGGGGGAUAAAGGAGCAAUUCACAGCCCAGAUCAUUGAUGGUCUGCACCAUUUGGGCUGCACUGUGAGGCCCCGCGUUGUCAUGAUGCAAGAUUAUUCUUCCUGACUGAUGAGCCCUGCGUUUGUUCUUGAUGUCUUUCAUGACCUGCCUCAGCAGUUCACAGUAGUUGGCACCAAGUUUGAAAAUGACAGUCAAAAUGACAUCAUUUGAGUGCAG
Hippocampus comes (tiger tail seahorse) is the source of this 515-nucleotide long non-coding RNA. RefSeq lists it as uncharacterized. The transcript is spliced from 3 exons. Lineage: Eukaryota; Metazoa; Chordata; Actinopteri; Syngnathiformes; Syngnathidae. The record is from RefSeq and is a predicted model, not a curated record.